RNAcentral lists this long non-coding RNA (919 nucleotides) under Homo sapiens (human). Its description in RNAcentral is "non-protein coding lnc-OR5H15-3:1". Lineage: Eukaryota; Metazoa; Chordata; Mammalia; Primates; Hominidae. The record is from RNAcentral.
AUGGAAGAGGAAAAUGCAACAUUGCUGACAGAGUUUGUUCUCACAGGACUUUUAUAUCAACCACAGUGGAAAAUACCCCUGUUCCUGACAUUCUUGGUAAUAUAUCUCAUCACCAUCAUGGGGAAUCUUGGUCUGAUUGCUGUCAUCUGGAAAGACCCUCACCUUCAGAUCCCAAUGUACUUACUCCUCGGGAAUUUAGCUUUUGUAGAUGCUUGGAUAUCAUCUACAGUGACUCCAAAGAUGCUGAAUAACUUCUUAGCUAAGAGUAAGAUGGUAUCUCUGCCUGAAAGCAAAAUACAGUUUUUUUCGUUUGCAAUCAGUGUAACCACUGAAUGUUUUCUCUUGGCAACAAUGGCAUAUGAUCGCUAUGUAGCCAUAUGCAAACCUUUACUUUAUCCAGCCAUUAUGACCAAUGGACUGUGCAUCCGGCUAUGUAGGUGGUCUUCUUCAUGCUUUAAUCCAUGAAGGAUUUUUAUUCAGACUAACCUUCUGUAACUCCAACGUAGUACACCACAUUUACUGUGACAUUAUCCCAUUGUCUAAGAUUUCUUGUACUGAUUCUUCUAUUAAUUUUCUAAUGGUUUUUAUUUUCUCAGGUUCAAUUCAAGUUUUCACCAUUGGGACUGGUCUUAUAUCUUAUACAUUUGUCCUCUUUACAAUCUUGAAAAAGAAAUCUGUCAAAGGUAUAAGAAAAGCCUUCUCCACCUGUGGAGCUCAUCUCUUAUCUGUAUCUUUAUACCAUGGGCCCCUCGACUUCAUGUAUAUGGGCUCUGCAUCCCCACAGGCUGAUGACGAAGACAUGAUGGAGUCUCUAUUUUACACUGUCAUAGUUCCUUUAUUAAAUCCCAUGACCUACAGCCUGAGAAACAAACAAGUAAUAGCUUCAUUCACAAAAAUGUUCAAAAGAAAUAAUAUUUAG